Molecule: ribosomal RNA, 484 nt
Filed under: uncultured bacterium
Lineage: Bacteria
Description: partial 16S ribosomal RNA
Rfam family: Bacterial small subunit ribosomal RNA
Source: RNAcentral
AUUGAACGCUGGCGGCAUGCUUUACACAUGCAAGUCGAACGGCAGCGCGGGCUUCGGCCUGGCGGCGAGUGGCGAACGGGUGAGUAAUACAUCGGAACGUGCCCAGUAGUGGGGGAUAGCUCGGCGAAAGCCGGAUUAAUACCGCAUACGACCUGAGGGUGAAAGCGGGGGAUCUUCGGACCUCGCGCUAUUGGAGCGGCCGAUGGCAGAUUAGCUAGUUGGUGGGGUAAAGGCCUACCAAGGCGACGAUCUGUAGCUGGUCUGAGAGGACGACCAGCCACACUGGGACUGAGACACGGCCCAGACUCCUACGGGAGGCAGCAGUGGGGAAUUGUGGACAAUGGGCGAAAGCCUGAUCCAGCAAUGCCGCGUGUGUGAUGAAGGCCUUCGGGUUGUAAAGCACUUUUGGCGGGAACGAAAAGCACUGUGCCAAUACCACGGUUCGAUGACGGUACCCGCAGAAUAAGCACCGGCUAACUACGUG